This 253-nucleotide ribosomal RNA is filed under the name uncultured bacterium. RNAcentral describes it as "partial 16S ribosomal RNA". It matches the Rfam family "Bacterial small subunit ribosomal RNA", at positions 524 to 776 of the family's 1533-position model. The record is from RNAcentral.
UACGAAGGGGGCUAGCGUUGUUCGGAAUCACUGGGCGUAAAGCGUAUGUAGGCGGAUUGUUAAGUCAGGGGUGAAAUCCCGAGGCUCAACCUCGGAACUGCCUUUGAUACUGGCUGUCUUGAGUCCGGGAGAGGUGAGUGGAACUCCUAGUGUAGAGGUGAAAUUCGUAGAUAUUCGCAAGAACACCGGUGGCGAAGGCGGGUCUCUGGGCCGAUACUGACGCUGAGGAGCGAAAGCGUGGGGAGCGAACAGG